Micropterus salmoides (largemouth bass) is the source of this 581-nucleotide long non-coding RNA. RefSeq lists it as uncharacterized. The transcript is spliced from 3 exons. NCBI's taxonomy places the organism in Eukaryota, Metazoa, Chordata, Actinopteri, Centrarchiformes, Centrarchidae. The record is from RefSeq and is a predicted model, not a curated record.
UUUACAGAUUAUUCAAAGGGCCCUUUGGCUCUCCAGGCUCUACCUGCCUACUUCUGCUGCUGCCACACAUCACUUCAAGAAUCUGAUGAACUGUACCAACCUCAGAUUAACCUCCAACCCCGUCCUUCUUUUUUUGCAAUCCCAGACCAUCACUGGAGGAAGCUGUUUCCUGAUUACCUGGUAAGGCCAUGUUCAAACAGGGGACUGCAAGGCAGCAUUGCACAUGGAUAAGAAAGGGUGAGAGAGAAAGAGAGAGAGUAGUGGUGACUGACCAAAAUGAAGAACUUGGCAGGAAUCCAGAUUGUUUCCAUAGACUAGUUCAACAAAACACAACUCGGUCGCAUCACUGCUUUGCCCAUGGAUGCCAGUCGACCUUGCUGGCAAAUUGUCCCAUUGCCUACUCAUGGUACUGCAACAAACAAGUAAAAAUCCUCUGUGGUCCAAAACGCAUUUUCUCCGUUACCAUUCUAAAAGAGAUGUCUGUAAAACUAUUGACAGGACAAACUGAAAAAAUGUAAAUUAUUGCUCUUUGGAUUACGCAUUUUUGAACCAUAAAGAUUCUAUAUUUGCUAGACCUUCCC